AUUGAACGCUGGCGGCAGGCCUAACACAUGCAAGUCGAGCGGAUGAAGGGAGCUUGCUCCUGGAUUCAGCGGCGGACGGGUGAGUAAUGCCUAGGAAUCUGCCUGGUAGUGGGGGAUAACGUCCGGAAACGGGCGCUAAUACCGCAUACGUCCUGAGGGAGAAAGUGGGGGAUCUUCGGACCUCACGCUAUCAGAUGAGCCUAGGUCGGAUUAGCUAGUUGGUGGGGUAAAGGCCUACCAAGGCGACGAUCCGUAACUGGUCUGAGAGGAUGAUCAGUCACACUGGAACUGAGACACGGUCCAGACUCCUACGGGAGGCAGCAGUGGGAAAUAUUGGACAAUGGGCGAAAGCCUGAUCCAGCCAUGCCGCGUGUGUGAAGAAGGUCUUCGGAUUGUAUAGCACUUUAAGUUGGGAGGAAGGGCAGUAAGUUAAUACCUUGCUGUUUUGACGUUACCAACAGAAUAAGCACCGGCUAACUUCGUG
Molecule: ribosomal RNA, 484 nt
Filed under: uncultured bacterium
Lineage: Bacteria
Description: partial 16S ribosomal RNA
Rfam family: Bacterial small subunit ribosomal RNA
Source: RNAcentral